Archocentrus centrarchus (flier cichlid) is the source of this 3457-nucleotide long non-coding RNA. RefSeq lists it as uncharacterized. The record is from RefSeq and is a predicted model, not a curated record. The transcript is spliced from 7 exons. Lineage: Eukaryota; Metazoa; Chordata; Actinopteri; Cichliformes; Cichlidae.
CCCAUCCAUCUAUCACACGUGUAGACAAAGGGGGACUCCACAACACAAAGCUAGAUGUGCCCUCUCAAACUUUUUCCACGACGCACAGCAACGCGCGCAGAGCAAACCGACUCCCCAGGUGGGAAUUUAAGCCAUUUAACCAGGACAGCGUUUGCCUCCGGUGGAUUAAGAAAAGAAAAAAAAAUGUGUAAAACAACAACCAAACAAAACAAAAAAGAAAAAAAACACGUGGAUGAUGUACAGAGUCACCUAUCAAGUCAUUUGUAAGAUGAAAUGGAGGAUUAAGAGACUGCAGUUUUCUUCUGGAUGAACAUGACGACUGAUCUCAUAAGGAUUUAGACUUCAGCAGCAGCACCAGUCGGAUUGUGUUUUACACACUUGGAAAUCUAAACCUCAUGGAGAUACUUUGAGGAUUAUAAAAAUGGGCAUGCAGAAUGCCACAAUACAAGACGCGUCCUGGGCCAAAGCCUUUGGGAUAGCAGGAUAUUGCUUUCCUGAUCCUUCUCGGCCCUCAGCGUGGGGAGUGUGGGAGUGGUGAGGUCUGGGAGAUCACGACCUUAAUUCUCUCCAAGACAGACGGUUUAAUUAACACUGGAAGAAUCCUCACUGACUCCAGACCUCUGCAAUGAGAAUGUACAGGGGAAUUGGAUUGCCAAGGUCCUCUUGGCCAUAGACUGAAAUGCUGACAGAAGAUGCCCAUGAAUGAUGAAUGAUGACUGGAGGACUGUCUGGUGCCAACAGAAUGCAUAAUACAGCAUCGAUACAGCAAUUCCAGUCCUCCUCACCAGAAACAUGGUGCAGUUUCUAUAUCACAUUAUUGGAAGAUUUGCCCCCAGCAGGACACCAGGACCACUUAAAGUGGAAAUCAACUGCAAAACAGCUCUCAGGAAUGUAUUUCUACUUGGAGUCAUUGGAAAGAGUUUUCUGGCCCCCUUCAUUGUAGUCCACAUAGCAAGAAGACCACCUCAUAGGGAUUUUCCUCUUCACCAGGUGUGUCAGAGCGAGACUCAGUGGGAAAGAUCACCUGGCCUAGACAGGAGUGUGAGGUGCAGAUCUACAAAGCAGCUUACGUGAAACUGGAGAAAGCAGAUGAAGAGAACGAAGAGAACAGGAAGAUGGGGGAAAAACAUAAAAGCAGCAAGUGAUUAACAUUUACCUUUUUUUUUAAUAACAUUUUGAGUAUUUUCAUCAGUAAAAGUUCUAAUAUAAAGUUGUUUCUCAUCACCUUAAACUGCAAGAAUCUGACUUUGGAUACACGGGUAUCCUGUUGUAUCCUGUUGUAGAAUCAAGGAUGGAGUCACAGCUAUCAGGGCUGCAUUUCACAGCUCACUGUAUCACAGAAUGUAAACAAAAGUUUGAUGACAAAUAUGUAUUCAUGUUAUUUACUAUGUAUCAAAAAUAUAUAAAUAAUUGCACCACUUUGUAAAAUGCUUUUUUGUAUUUAUUUUUAAAACAAUAUGUCUGCAAAAGGCCUGUAAUUGUGGCAUACUCAUGUUUCUUUUAUCUUGGUUGCUACUGUGUGUUUUAUAUACAAUAUUCAGAAAUGCUUGAUGUCACAACAGUCACAGCCAUUAAGUUGUGCCAGGGAAUGGCUGUGACAUACAACAAUAAUCCAGCUGAUGCUGAGCCCACCAUUGUGACGAGAGUCACUGCUGUGUUUUUACUGCUCUGUUUGUUUCCCUGUGUGUGUGUGUGUGUGUGUGUGUGUGUGUGUGUGUGUGUGUGUGUGUGUGUGUGUGUGUGUGUGUGUGUGUGUGUGUGUGUGUGUGUGUGUGUGUGUGUCUGCUCCAAGAAGAGACCAGCAAAACGGUGGACUCUCACACUGAGCUGCAGAGAAAGUAGUUUCACAGGGAGGGACUCACAUGUGCUAACAUGCGCUCAGUGCUUGCAAAAGGGCAACACACAUGGGUGGAGGGUGAAUAAAUUCCCUCUUUAUAACUUUAUGCUGCAAAUAGUUGCCAUUUAAUUUUCAAAAUCUUAUGCAAGCUUGUUUAUUUGCUGUUUCAAAUUUGUUUCAUAAUACACAUCUUUUUUUGUAUAGGAGGUUGGCAAUCUUGUAUAUCAAUAUAUAUACUGUAUAUGUGCACUUCAUCUCUUAAGAAGUAAGGGCAACAAAUACUACAUUAAAUGCAUGUAUUCAUGCAAUAUGUAAAACUCUGGAGGAAUAUGACCAGCACUGAGAUCACUCCUUGUGAAGACUUUCACUUUUAUCAGCACAACAUGGAUUAUCAAUGAAUAUUGCAUUGUUUUGAGAAAAAUCUAGUUAAAAUAAUAUAAAGAAUUUUAAUGGCUACUCAAGAGACUCGUGAAAAUAUGAAGCUAUACUUUUCAUAUGAGAAUACCAGCAGCGCUCAAAGGUACAGAACCAAGUGCCUCUUCGUCUGCAUUUAGAGAGUGAAGAGGGAAGAGAGGUAAUUAUUUUUCCCUCCACAACUGCAUGGUAAAACACUUUAAAUAGUUUAGAGUUGAGUGGCUCGCUGCAGUGUGCUGUGAUAAUGAUAGCGGUGACUUUAGAUGAAAAAUGUCUUACUUCUGCCAAUUAGAUUUGAGUUUGAUCUGAGGUGGCUUUCAACUCAUAGGGCAGGGGAACCCUUAAGCUUACUUUUACAAUAUGCUCAUCGACCACUUCUUUAUUCUCACAGGGCCGGUCUGACCCAAGAUGAUAGAAACCAGUUCAGUAUAGUUUUAUCUCCAUGACUCCAGUUGUAAAUGUGACGAUAUGAACAAGUUCACAGUACAGUACCAAAUAGGAAGUAAUCUGUAAUAAUAGGUUUUUAAUUAAAUGUUGCAUAAAUUCAUGAUAAAAGGAUGCCAUAAAUAUCAAUGGCACCCAUGGCUAUUCCUCCAGUUAUGAUUUCAUUUAAAUGCGAAAAUGUAAUCAUAACUGUUUAUGAGUGAAAAGAUCAAAUUUUAAGAUACUUUAUCUCACAUAGGAGUUGCUGCAACAGGCUGCCUCUCACCACAGCGCUGUGGCAACACAACACACAGUUGUAUGGUAAAGGUUCUUUAGAUAUUUAAGUCAUGCUUCCCCUUUUGCAACUCCACUGCUUUGGCUAAUGAACAGAAAUAAAUCUUUUUAUAUACAAGACAGCCCAUUUUCACCCAGCGUAGAACAUGUAAAAUACCAGAGCAGGGUUAACACAUUUUCAGGGAUGAAUUUUCAGGCCUGUCUAUUUGUGUAUGUGGUUACUAACCCCAGCUACCCUGGUCAGAACACCCCCCACCACCACCUCACCCAGUUACCCACCAUAGUUUCCAUCAGCAGUUUAUCACACUUCCUUUCCUUGUGCUCAACGUCCCCCCCCAGUCUGUCUGCCAGACAGGAAAAUCAAAGACUUUGGGACUAUCAUUACAGUCCAAAUGGUAUAUUGCAAUAUACAACAUGCCCAUGAUAUAUGACAUAAAAGUUUUAUAAGUAUGAAUCAGGAGAUAUGUAAAAGUAGAGUUUUCCUUUAAC